ACCUGUCACACUAUGGGAGUUGUCUUGCCCGAAAUCAUCACCUUAACAGUAAGGAUGGGAUGCCAAAGGCAACCGUAGGGACUAAAGUAAAGUCGUAACAA
Molecule: ribosomal RNA, 101 nt
Filed under: Olea europaea subsp. europaea
Lineage: Eukaryota; Viridiplantae; Streptophyta; Magnoliopsida; Lamiales; Oleaceae
Description: SSU_rRNA_bacteria
Source: RNAcentral